AGAGUUGAUCAUGGCUCAGGACGAACGCUGGCGGCGUGCUUAACACAUGCAAGUCGAACGAGGAUGAUCCUUCGGGGAUCAUUCGAGUGGCGGACGGGUGAGUAACGCGUGAACAAUCUGUCCUUCAAAGGGGGAAACCAACUGGAAACAGUUGCUAAUACCGCAUAAGACCACAGUGUCGCAUGGCACAGAGGUAAAAGACGCAAGUCGAUGGAGGGUGAGUUCGCGUCUGAUUAGGCAGUUGGCGGGGUAAAGGCCCACCAAACCGACGAUCAGUAGCCGACCUGAGAGGGUGACCGGCCACAUUGGGACUGAGACACGGCCCAGACUCCUACGGGAGGCAGCAGUGGGGAAUAUUGGGCAAAUGGGCGAAAGCCUGACCCAGCAACGCCGCGUGAGGGAAGAAGGUUUUCGGAUUGUAAACCUCUGUCCUAAAGGACGAAGGAAGUGACGGUACUUUAGGAGAAAGCCCCGGCUAACUACGUGCCAGCCGCAGC
RNAcentral lists this ribosomal RNA (497 nucleotides) under uncultured bacterium. RNAcentral describes it as "bacterial SSU rRNA". It matches the Rfam family "Bacterial small subunit ribosomal RNA", at positions 8 to 518 of the family's 1533-position model. The record is from RNAcentral.